This 520-nucleotide ribosomal RNA is filed under the name uncultured Glomus. Its description in RNAcentral is "SSU rRNA". It matches the Rfam family "Eukaryotic small subunit ribosomal RNA", at positions 569 to 1092 of the family's 1831-position model. Lineage: Eukaryota; Fungi; Glomeromycota; Glomeromycetes; Glomerales; Glomeraceae. The record is from RNAcentral.
AGCAGCCGCGGUAAUUCCAGCUCCAAUAGCGUAUAUUAAAGUUGUCGCAGUUAAAAAGCUCGUAGUUGAAUUUCGAGAUCAAAUUGUUGGUCGUGCCUCGGUACGUACUGGCAUUAUUGAUUUCUCCCUUCUGAAGAACCUUGAUGUCAUUAAUUUGGUGUCUUGGGGAAUCAGGACCGUUACUUUGAAAAAAUUAGAGUGUUUAAAGCAGGCUCACGCUUGAAUACAUUAGCAUGGAAUAAUGAAAUAGGACGUUUGAUUCUAUUUUGUUGGUUUCUAGGAUCGACGUAAUGAUUAAUAGGGAUAGUUGGGGACAUUAGUAUUCAAUUGUCAGAGGUGAAAUUCUUGGAUUUAUUGAAGACUAACUACUGCGAAAGCAUUUGCCAAGGAUGUUUUCAUUAAUCAAGAACGAAAGUUAGGGGAUCGAAGACGAUCAGAUACCGUCGUAGUCUUAACCAUAAACUAUGCCGACUAGGGAUCGGAUGAUGUUAAUUUUUAAUGACUCAUUCGGCGCCUUAAC